CCCGCUUGUCCCCGGUCUCCUCCGGUUCCCCCGGCCUGGCCUUGGCCCCGCGGGCUCCGCGGCCCUCCCGGGGCCGCCGCGUGGCACCCGGCUCCGGUGAAACGGCGGAAACGAAACCAACGAGCGGCCCCGGCCCGGCCCCGGCGGGGCAGCGGGAGCAGCGGGGCGGGCUGGGCGGCGGGGCCCGGCUCCCGCUCCCGGGGCUCCGAUUUCGGGAGGGAGGCGCAGGUCCGACCCGGCCACCACUGCCCGGCCCGGCCUUCUACACACCCACCGCUGUAUAGAGAGAAUGCACAGAAUAUAUAGGAUAUGCAUAAUAUACACAAUGUAUAGGAUAUACACAAUAUACACAAUGUACACAAUACACACAAUAUAUGGAAUAUAUGGAAUAUACACAAUAUAUGGAAUAUAUGGAAUAUAGGGAAUAUCCUGCUGGAAGGAACGGCGGCGCCUGCGGAAAUGCCAACCCGCCAGCACCGGGGGCUCCCCGGGAGCAGCGGAGCUCUCUGCCCGCACCGGGCACCCCUAGGCCUGGCCGGCCCUUGGCCGGAGCCCCCCAAACUGCCGCCGGCGGCCGCAGCAUCGCGGGGAGCGAACGGAGCCUCCUCCCGCCGCCACCGGGCACCGGGGAUCGGGCACCGGCCCCGCCGCUCUCCGUGGUGCUGAACGGCGGCCGCGCCGCGCCCCGGGGGCCGGGGGCACCCCGGGGCACCCCCGAGCCCGGUUCGGGACGUGUCGCAAUGGGCGGUACCGGACCUGCAGGCAGGGCUGGGAUGUGCGGCUCCGGCAGCUCCCGGCGCUCCCGCCGCUGCCCUCCCGGUCCCGCCGGCCGUUCCCGUGUCCCGGUGCCGGGAUCCGCCGCGUCCCCCCCGCCGCCACCUCCGCCACCCCGGCCCGGCCGCCCCCGGCCCCUCCCCGGGGCUCACCUCGCCCUGACAUUUCCUGGCGCUCCUUCCAUGCCAGCGGGUUGCCAUAGCAAAUCUAAAUCUUGCAAACAAAACCAGGGGAGGGAGGGAAAAAAAAAGAAAAAAAAAAAAAAAGCAAAAAAAGCAGCCUGAUUAGCAUAUAUUCAAAUGAGGCGUGCAAUAAUGCAAACCAUAAAUCAUGCAGUCAUUGCUAUUCAAUCAGUGUCUCUUACCCCAGCCCCCACUCUGCACCCGCUGGGUCGCCUCCCCUCCUGCCACAAGCCCCGGCCCGGGCCCGAAGGUGGCCCUGGGGGGACCUGCCACCCUCCGGAGGGGACCUGCCACCCUCUGGGGGUGGCCCCGGCCCGGCCGGGCCCCGGGGCUCGGGCAGCCCCCUAAUCCCGCCCGGUAUUUACGGCGCUCCGUUAAACCCGGCCAGCUCCUCCCGGAUUAAUCUCCCGCCCGGGUUUUAAUCCCGGGGCUGUGAUCCCCCCCAGCCCCAGCCCCGGCCCCGGCCGGGGGAAGGGGCCCAGCUCGGCCCCGGAGCGCGGGGGGGACCCCCAGCCCUGCCCGAUCCCGAGCUGGGGGUGCCCAAGCGGAGUUGGGGGCACCCGAGCCCCCCCAGAAUGUCCCUGGGGGUGGUGGCGCGGCAGGGCCCUGCUGUCCCUCCCGGUCACCUCGGCAGCGUGGCCGUGGCCGUGGCCGUGGCCGUGGCCGUGGCCGUGGCCGUACCCAGCGCACCACCGGCCCCAGGGGAUGUUCCCGACCCCCAAAACUCGGCAGGACCCCCAAACCCAGCCCAGUCCCGAGCUAAAACAGGCCCGGCUCAGCUGGGCCGGGUUUAACCCCCUCCCUGCCCCCCAAAUCCCACUUUGAAGGGGUUUUCCCUUCUCCC
This is a long non-coding RNA of Taeniopygia guttata (zebra finch), 1800 nucleotides long. Lineage: Eukaryota; Metazoa; Chordata; Aves; Passeriformes; Estrildidae. The record is from Ensembl.